This 497-nucleotide ribosomal RNA is filed under the name uncultured bacterium. RNAcentral describes it as "partial 16S ribosomal RNA". It matches the Rfam family "Bacterial small subunit ribosomal RNA", at positions 28 to 507 of the family's 1533-position model. The record is from RNAcentral.
GAUGAACGCUGGCGGCGUGCCUAAUACAUGCAAGUCGAGCGAACAGACGAGGAGCUUGCUCCUCUGACGUUAGCGGCGGACGGGUGAGUAACGCGUGGAUAACCUACCUAUAAGACUGGGAUAACUUCGGGAAACCGGAGCUAAUACCGGAUAAUAUAUUGAACCGCAUGGUUCAAUAGUGAAAGACGGUUUUGCUGUCACUUAUAGAUGGAUCCGCGCCGCAUUAGCUAGUUGGUAAGGUAACGGCUUACCAAGGCAACGAUGCGUAGCCGACCUGAGAGGGUGAUCGGCCACACUGGAACUGAGACACGGUCCAGACUCCUACGGGAGGCAGCAGUAGGGAAUCUUCCGCAAUGGGCGAAAGCCUGACGGAGCAACGCCGCGUGAGUGAUGAAGGUCUUCGGAUCGUAAAACUCUGUUAUUAGGGAAGAACAAAUGUGUAAGUAACUAUGCACGUCUUGACGGUACCUAAUCAGAAAGCCACGGCUAACUACAUG